Molecule: ribosomal RNA, 140 nt
Filed under: Divia briandi
Lineage: Eukaryota; Metazoa; Mollusca; Gastropoda; Cycloneritida; Phenacolepadidae
Description: partial small subunit ribosomal RNA
Rfam family: Eukaryotic small subunit ribosomal RNA
Source: RNAcentral
GCUACUACCGAUUGAACGGUUUAGUGAGGUCCUUGGAUUGGCCUCGGGACGGGGGGCAACCCCCGUGCCGGUGCGCCGAGAAGACGACCAAACUUGAUCGUUUAGAGGAAGUAAAAGUCGUAACAAGGUUUCCGUAGGUG